This 75-nucleotide transfer RNA is filed under the name Salmonella enterica. Its description in RNAcentral is "tRNA-Arg". It matches the Rfam family "tRNA". From Rfam's summary of the family: Transfer RNA (tRNA) molecules are approximately 80 nucleotides in length. Their secondary structure includes four short double-helical elements and three loops (D, anti-codon, and T loops). The record is from RNAcentral. RNAcentral also lists the same sequence under 3 other names. Lineage: Bacteria; Pseudomonadati; Pseudomonadota; Gammaproteobacteria; Enterobacterales; Enterobacteriaceae.
GUUCCCUUAGCUCAAUGGAUAGAGCAGUUGCCUUCUAAGCAAUAGAUAUAGGUUCGAUUCCUAUAGGGAAUACCA